This is a long non-coding RNA of Lolium rigidum, 634 nucleotides long. RefSeq lists it as uncharacterized. The transcript has 7 exons. The record is from RefSeq and is a predicted model, not a curated record. Lineage: Eukaryota; Viridiplantae; Streptophyta; Magnoliopsida; Poales; Poaceae.
UCAUGAUGGAUGGCUUUGGUAUGAUGCUAGCUUGGGAGAUCCCACUCCAUCGGAUCAACAAAUUACCAUGGUGGCAGAAAAUAAAAAACAAUGUUAAAUAGCUAUUUGGAAUGCAAGAUGAAAAUCGAGGACACGUCGAUGCAACUUCCGGAGUAUCUUGUUGAUGCAAGCCUCUCCUCUCUCCCCCUCGACUGGAUGCGGGCCGCCGGUCGCGUGCGUCGCCGUGCGAAGAGCAGGUGGGAGCAUGUUAUCUAUGUGAGGUCUCCUCUCACUCUCUCAGAUACACAUGGAGGUACCAGGAAAAGCUUUUGAUAUGCGCAUGAACCUCAUUUUUAUCCGCGCUCCCUUCUAAGGAGUCCCCAGUUCAGAACAAAAUGAAGGAAUGAAAAAGCAUGGCCGCUGACUUUCGUAACGCUCAGAGAGUUGUGGUUGGUAACAUCGCAGGAAAGGCAACAAGGACAUGCUGAUUUCUAGAUCGGACAUCCUACUUAAGUAGCCGAGCAAGUGGUGUUGCAAAGGAAUCGGUGAUCAGGACUUUGCUAUGGUCUGCGGCUGCGUGCCUGAGAAAAGGCCAUGGCUCUGGUUAUUGUAUUAUUUUUGUUUUGUUAGCGUGCUAAUUGGCUUGAAAAGGACA